GGGAGAAGAGAACGACACACAGAAAGUAAAAUGGAAAAUUGCUGAUUUAUAGAAGAAGAAGAAGAAGGGGAGAGUUCUUCAUAUUUUCUUGUUUCGAAAAUGAUAGGAUGGCUAAAACAGCUAGGAAAAGCUUUUGGCGUUUCAUUUCUAUGGCUCAUUUGCUUGAUUUACUUCACUCAGGGGUUCAGAUCCUUUGUAUGGACGGCUGUUUCCUACCACCUAAAAGACAGGCUUAGGUUGUCACCUUCAGCCUCCCAAUUUGUAUCUUCAGUAGCAUUUUUCCCAUGGAGCAUAAAGCCAUUAUAUGGGUAUAGUUCUUUCCCACACUCACGCAGGCAUGCAUUGUAGCUUCAAAUAUACACAUCCAUCCAUGUAGUAGAAGGUUUUCCAUGAUGCAGCGCCCUGCUAAUUUACUCACUAGCCAGCAGUGUUGACAACAUUUGGCACUUCUGGUUUCCACAUUUGUGCUUUUGUAUGAAACUAAAACUAUAAUUGCAAUUUUAUUGUAAUUUAUUCUUGUAUGGAAUUUAUAUGAGUAAUGGAAGUGAAUGAAUUCCAUCUUGCUUGUCAUAGCAAUAUUACGGAAGUUGCAACUUUUCUAGCACCACAGAUUAUUAUUAAAAAUUGUUGUCAUGAUUUUCAAGUUAGCAUGAUGCUAGAACUGUUAAAUGCUAUGUGAAACAAAAUGGAUUCAUUUCAAAAUACAUAUAUACCAAAAAUUCUUACAACAGAAUAAUUUAUGGCAUUAUCAUUUUAGCACAAAUAAAUUCGCAUAUGAAGUUUGUUGAUGCAUAUCGUCAUAUAUGUUUAAUUGCUCAUGAUCAUGAAAUAAUGCAUUAAGAAACCUGUCCUUUUCAUUAUAAGUAAUUUUCUACAUAUAUGUUUAAUUGUUCAUGAUCAUGAAAUGAUGCGUUGAGAAAUCUAUCCUUUUCAUUAUAAGUAAUUUUCUACAUAUAUGUUUAAUUGUUCAUGAUCAUGAAAUGAUGCGUUGAGAAAUCUAUCCUUUUCAUUAUAAGUAAUUUUCCACUUUUAUUUAUUGGAUUCUUAAUUUUCAUGUGGCCUAUAGAAUUUUGUCAGAUUGUAUCCCGAUCAAGGGAAGAAAAAGGAUACCAUACCUAGUAAUUGCAACUGUUCUGUCUCUAGUGCCGUGGCCUAUUCUAGGCUUAAAUGCAUUCUUGAGAAGUUCCAGAUGGCACCUCACAGUCUUCUUGACUGUGCAAAACUUGGGCUCUGCCAUGGCAGAUGUUGUGGUGGAUGCUAUGAUUGCUGAGGCAGUAAGGUUUGAGAGGGCCUCAUUUGCAGGAGAUCUCCAGUCGAUAUCUUGGUUAUCCAUGGCUUUGGGUGGAAUAUGUGGCAGUUUGUUAGGAGGAUAUGCAUUAACCAACAUACAGAUAGAAACAAAUUUCUUUCUGUUUUCAGUGCUGCCAGCCAUACAGUUAUUAUCAUGUGGUUUAAUUACGGAGAAUUAUGUGGGCAGUAAAAUUUUGCCUGAGUUUGCUAAUUCUGUAAGCAGCUCCCAUAUAGUAAAUGGGAAUGGUAUUGUUUUGGAAGAAGAUAGUUUCUUAGCUAAGAAGUCAAAUGCAAGCACAUGGAGAAGAAAGAAGAGCCAAAAGAAUAGCAUAAAGAGGACGGCUAUUAGUACUAAAUCACAGAUCCCUGAGAAGGACAAUUCAUUAGCAUUGGGAUGGUUAGACUCUCUUAGAGCAGCCACUUACAGUUUGUUUGUUGCUUUUAGGCAACCAAUCAUUUUGAGGUAACUACUAACAGAUCUUAAGUUGCUCAUUUAUUGUUCUCAAACAUUUGAAGGUCACAAGUUAAUUUGCCCUCUUUAAAGGUUUAACCAUUUUUGGGCUUUAAUUAAGAUUAUGGUUGUGUUGGCAUCAUUAUGCCAAUAAUGAUGGUUAUUGGACCAGAUAGUCUGCAUUGUUGAAUAGGUGGUCAAAUUAUUAGGUCAGCUUUAUGCAUAUGAUAUAAGGUAUAAAUGUAGUUUAAAUGUGCCUAUCCGGAGUGUCAUCCUGUUGUUAUAAGGGUUCUUUUCCCCUCUUUCUUUUUUGGCAUACUUUACUGCCACAUAUUGGUUAAUUCUUCUGAUCAUGUUUGCUUUUGUUUUUACUUUGGUCUUGGGAAGACCAGACCAAUGACUUGGUUUUUCCUAGCACAUGUCACAGUUCCAAACCUCUCAACAGUCAUGUUCUAUUACCAGACUGAGUCCUUGAAAUUGGACGCAUCCUUUCUGGGGACUGCACGUGUUGUUGGAUGGUUGGGCCUUAUGCUUGGGACCUUCACUUACAAUCGCUAUCUGAAGACCAUGAAGCUGCGGAAGAUUCUCUUGUCAGCUCAUAUUGGGUUGUCUUUUAUGAGCCUCCUAGAUAUGAUCUUGGUAUCUCGAAUCAGUCUUGCCUAUGGAAUUUCAGAUAAGAUCACGGUGCUUUGUGGAUCUGCCCUUGCUGAUGCAAUCAAUCAACUCAAGUAUGUGCAUAUUUUGCUAAGUUCCUAUUUUCUUCUGUUAAUACUUUUUGUGCAAAUUUGAAUAUUUUGUACCAAAGAAUCAUGAGAAAGAACUUAUGCAUGCGUACGCAUAUCCCAAAUCCACAUUAGUAUCAAUUGACAAAAAAUGACUAAUUUCCAUCAUGUUGUUGCUCUUUUGGCAUUUACCUGCAGGUUCAUGCCAUUCCUCAUUUUGUCCGGACAGUUAUGCCCUCCAGGAAUUGAAGGAACUUUAUUUGCCCUCUUUAUGUCAAUAAACAACUUGGGUUCAACGCUGGGAUCAUUCACAGGUGCUGCACUGGCUUCAUUUUUGAAUCUAUCAUCAGGCUUAUUUGAUAACCUACUACUGGGCAUUGCCAUCCAAGUCUUCUGCACUUACAUUCCAGUUGCCCUUUUAUUUUUGAUACCAAAAGAAGCUACAGGGCUAUCAGCAUAGUUGGGGAUUCAUUCAUUCUCAAAACAGAAUGCUAUUAUCUAGAAGCAGAAAAAUGAAUACAAUUUUUUUUCACUGAUUUUCUUUUUUACUGCCGACUAGCUGCUGAAAUUCACAGAUGUAGAAUUGUAGAUUCUGAAAUGAAAAAAUAUAGCUACUUAGGUUUACACUUCUCAGUGUAGGUUGUUGGCUGCAACAUAUGCAAUGUUUAAGACCUUGUCUACAAUUUGCUCAUUGAUUCUAUUUGAAAUGCAAAAUCUUUUACAGUUGGAUCAAAA
This 3198-nucleotide unclassified non-coding RNA is filed under the name Hevea brasiliensis (rubber tree). Lineage: Eukaryota; Viridiplantae; Streptophyta; Magnoliopsida; Malpighiales; Euphorbiaceae. The record is from RNAcentral.